RNAcentral lists this ribosomal RNA (2806 nucleotides) under Enterobacter cloacae subsp. cloacae. RNAcentral's name for it is "bacterial LSU rRNA". It matches the Rfam family "Bacterial large subunit ribosomal RNA". Lineage: Bacteria; Pseudomonadati; Pseudomonadota; Gammaproteobacteria; Enterobacterales; Enterobacteriaceae. The record is from RNAcentral.
GGGUUGUGAGGUUAAGCGACUAAGCGUACACGGUGGAUGCCCUGGCAGUCAGAGGCGAUGAAGGACGUGCUAAUCUGCGAAAAGCGCCGGCGAGGUGAUAUGAACCUUUGACCCGGCGAUGUCCGAAUGGGGAAACCCAGUGUGAUUCGUCACACUAUCGUUAACUGAAUACAUAGGUUAACGAGGCGAACCGGGGGAACUGAAACAUCUAAGUACCCCGAGGAAAAGAAAUCAACCGAGAUUCCCCCAGUAGCGGCGAGCGAACGGGGAGCAGCCCGGAGUCUGAAUCAGCUUGUGUGUUAGUGGAACGGUCUGGAAAGUCCGACGGUACAGGGUGAUAGUCCCGUACACGAAAAUGCACAGGUUGUGAACUCGAAGAGUAGGGCGGGACACGUGGUAUCCUGUCUGAAUAUGGGGGGACCAUCCUCCAAGGCUAAAUACUCCUGACUGACCGAUAGUGAACCAGUACCGUGAGGGAAAGGCGAAAAGAACCCCGGCGAGGGGAGUGAAAAAGAACCUGAAACCGUGUACGUACAAGCAGUGGGAGCCUACUUGUUAGGUGACUGCGUACCUUUUGUAUAAUGGGUCAGCGACUUAUAUUCUGUAGCAAGGUUAACCGAAUAGGGGAGCCGAAGGGAAACCGAGUCUUAACUGGGCGUUAAGUUGCAGGGUAUAGACCCGAAACCCGGUGAUCUAGCCAUGGGCAGGUUGAAGGUUGGGUAACACUAACUGGAGGACCGAACCGACUAAUGUUGAAAAAUUAGCGGAUGACCUGUGGCUGGGGGUGAAAGGCCAAUCAAACCGGGAGAUAGCUGGUUCUCCCCGAAAGCUAUUUAGGUAGCGCCUCGUGAACUCAUCUUCGGGGGUAGAGCACUGUUUCGGCUAGGGGGCCAUCCCGGCUUACCAACCCGAUGCAAACUACGAAUACCGAAGAAUGUUAUCACGGGAGACACACGGCGGGUGCUAACGUCCGUCGUGAAGAGGGAAACAACCCAGACCGCCAGCUAAGGUCCCAAAGUCAUGGUUAAGUGGGAAACGAUGUGGGAAGGCACAGACAGCCAGGAUGUUGGCUUAGAAGCAGCCAUCAUUUAAAGAAAGCGUAAUAGCUCACUGGUCGAGUCGGCCUGCGCGGAAGAUGUAACGGGGCUAAACCAUGCACCGAAGCUGCGGCAGCGACACUAUGUGUUGUUGGGUAGGGGAGCGUUCUGUAAGCCGUUGAAGGUGGCCUGUGAGGGUUGCUGGAGGUAUCAGAAGUGCGAAUGCUGACAUAAGUAACGAUAAAGCGGGUGAAAAGCCCGCUCGCCGGAAGACCAAGGGUUCCUGUCCAACGUUAAUCGGGGCAGGGUGAGUCGACCCCUAAGGCGAGGCCGAAAGGCGUAGUCGAUGGGAAACAGGUUAAUAUUCCUGUACUUGGUGUUACUGCGAAGGGGGGACGGAGAAGGCUAUGUUAGCCGGGCGACGGUUGUCCCGGUUUAAGCAUGUAGGCGGAGGUUCCAGGUAAAUCCGGUACCUUUUUAACGCUGAGGUGUGAUGACGAGGCACUACGGUGCUGAAGUAACAAAUGCCCUGCUUCCAGGAAAAGCCUCUAAGCAUCAGGUAACACGAAAUCGUACCCCAAACCGACACAGGUGGUCAGGUAGAGAAUACCAAGGCGCUUGAGAGAACUCGGGUGAAGGAACUAGGCAAAAUGGUGCCGUAACUUCGGGAGAAGGCACGCUGAUAUGUAGGUGAAGCCCCUGCGGGUGGAGCUGAAAUCAGUCGAAGAUACCAGCUGGCUGCAACUGUUUAUUAAAAACACAGCACUGUGCAAACACGAAAGUGGACGUAUACGGUGUGACGCCUGCCCGGUGCCGGAAGGUUAAUUGAUGGGGUUAGCGGUAACGCGAAGCUCUUGAUCGAAGCCCCGGUAAACGGCGGCCGUAACUAUAACGGUCCUAAGGUAGCGAAAUUCCUUGUCGGGUAAGUUCCGACCUGCACGAAUGGCGUAAUGAUGGCCAGGCUGUCUCCACCCGAGACUCAGUGAAAUUGAACUCGCUGUGAAGAUGCAGUGUACCCGCGGCAAGACGGAAAGACCCCGUGAACCUUUACUAUAGCUUGACACUGAACACUGGUCCUUGAUGUGUAGGAUAGGUGGGAGGCUUUGAAGCGUGGACGCCAGUCUGCGUGGAGCCGACCUUGAAAUACCACCCUUUAAUGGCUGGUGUUCUAACGUAGACCCGUAAUCCGGGUUGCGGACAGUGUCUGGUGGGUAGUUUGACUGGGGCGGUCUCCUCCCAAAGAGUAACGGAGGAGCACGAAGGUUAGCUAAUCCUGGUCGGACAUCAGGAGGUUAGUGCAAUGGCAUAAGCUAGCUUGACUGCGAGAGUGACGGCUCGAGCAGGUGCGAAAGCAGGUCAUAGUGAUCCGGUGGUUCUGAAUGGAAGGGCCAUCGCUCAACGGAUAAAAGGUACUCCGGGGAUAACAGGCUGAUACCGCCCAAGAGUUCAUAUCGACGGCGGUGUUUGGCACCUCGAUGUCGGCUCAUCACAUCCUGGGGCUGAAGUAGGUCCCAAGGGUAUGGCUGUUCGCCAUUUAAAGUGGUACGCGAGCUGGGUUUAGAACGUCGUGAGACAGUUCGGUCCCUAUCUGCCGUGGGCGCUGGAGAAUUGAGGGGGGCUGCUCCUAGUACGAGAGGACCGGAGUGGACGCAUCACUGGUGUUCGGGUUGUCAUGCCAAUGGCACUGCCCGGUAGCUAAAUGCGGAAGAGAUAAGUGCUGAAAGCAUCUAAGCACGAAACUUGCCCCGAGAUGAGUUCUCCCUGAGACU